CCGAGUUUACAAACUCCCAAACCCUUUGUGAACCUUACCUAUCGUUGCUUCGGCGGGACCGCCCCGACGGCCACCUCGGUGGUCCCGGAACCAGGCGCCCGCCGAAGGCCCCAAACUCUUUGUUUCCUAUGGUUUUCUCCUCUGAGUGGAAAAUAAACAAAUAAAUAA
This 168-nucleotide unclassified non-coding RNA is filed under the name uncultured Myrothecium. RNAcentral describes it as "sequence contains ITS1". Lineage: Eukaryota; Fungi; Ascomycota; Sordariomycetes; Hypocreales. The record is from RNAcentral.